This 210-nucleotide unclassified non-coding RNA is filed under the name Hevea brasiliensis (rubber tree). The record is from RNAcentral. Lineage: Eukaryota; Viridiplantae; Streptophyta; Magnoliopsida; Malpighiales; Euphorbiaceae.
UUACAAUUCUAGUCCAAAUUAUUUUUUAGGCUUCCAAGUAUCCUAUGUGCUUAACUGCACAAGAAUUUCAAAGCUUCAACAAUAUUAGCACGAUGCAUGAUAGGAAUUAACAAAAUUCAAGAAUGAGUUUAAUAUUCCCAUAAAAGCAAGACUAGUAUAUUUCAUUUCCCAUUCCCACUAGGGAUUCCAUCUCCUUUGUGUAGGUUAUUG